UAUCCCCCAAACCAAGGGGGGAUGAGAACCACCGACCGGGGUUCGACAACUGGCGCAGCCAGUUGGACAGACGACGAGCCUGCGAGGAGACUGCCCGAAGGGCGAGCGCAGCGAGUCAAUCCCCCCCUCUCCGCCA
This 136-nucleotide small RNA is filed under the name Salmonella enterica. RNAcentral's name for it is "RtT sRNA". It matches the Rfam family "RtT RNA". Rfam says of the family: This family represents a bacterial cis-regulatory element known as RtT RNA. RNAcentral also lists the same sequence under 10 other names. Lineage: Bacteria; Pseudomonadati; Pseudomonadota; Gammaproteobacteria; Enterobacterales; Enterobacteriaceae. The record is from RNAcentral.